AACAGGAUUAGAUACCCUGGUAGUCCACGCUGUAAACGAUGUCGACUUGGAGGUUGUGCCCUUGAGGCGUGGCUUCCGGAGCUAACGCGUUAAGUCGACCGCCUGGGGAGUACGGCCGCAAGGUUAAAACUCAAAUGAAUUGACGGGGGCCCGCACAAGCGGUGGAGCAUGUGGUUUAAUUCGAUGCAACGCGAAGAACCUUACCUACUCUUGACAUCCAGAGAAUUUGCUAGAGAUAGCUUAGUGCCUUCGGGAACUCUGAGACAGGUGCUGCAUGGCUGUCGUCAGCUCGUGUUGUGAAAUGUUGGGUUAAGUCCCGCAACGAGCGCAACCCUUAUCCUUUGUUGCCAGCACGUAAUGGUGGGAACUCAAAGGAGACUGCCGGUGAUAAACCGGAGGAAGGUGGGGAUGACGUCAAGUCAUCAUGGCCCUUACGAGUAGGGCUACACACGUGCUACAAUGGCAUAUACAAAGAGAAGCGAACUCGCGAGAGCAAGCGGACCUCAUAAAGUAUGUCGUAGUCCGGAUUGGAGUCUGCAACCCGACUCCAUGAAGUCGGAAUCGCUAGUAAUCGUAGAUCAGAAUGCUACGGUGAAUACGUUCCCGGGCCUUGUACACACCGCCCGUCACACCAUGGGAGUGGGUUGCAAAAGAAGUAGGUAGCUUAACCUUCGGGAGGGCGCUUACCACUUUGUGAUUCAUGACUGGGGUGAAGUCGUAACAAGGUAACC
RNAcentral lists this ribosomal RNA (731 nucleotides) under uncultured bacterium. RNAcentral describes it as "bacterial SSU rRNA". It matches the Rfam family "Bacterial small subunit ribosomal RNA", at positions 771 to 1501 of the family's 1533-position model. The record is from RNAcentral.